ACCUAUGAACCAAGAAAUCACGGUUCAAUUCCCCAUCAGAUCGACCCUGUUGAUCUAACUAAACUAUUUGCCAGUUUUUGUCUGAUGCAUUGGG
RNAcentral lists this small nucleolar RNA (94 nucleotides) under Myotis davidii. Its description in RNAcentral is "Small nucleolar SNORD12/SNORD106". It matches the Rfam family "Small nucleolar SNORD12/SNORD106". From Rfam's summary of the family: This family belong to the C/D class of snoRNA which contain the C (UGAUGA) and D (CUGA) box motifs. This family includes the human ortholog of mouse snoRNA HBII-99 and human snoRNA U106. The record is from Rfam by way of RNAcentral. Lineage: Eukaryota; Metazoa; Chordata; Mammalia; Chiroptera; Vespertilionidae.